Ailuropoda melanoleuca (giant panda) is the source of this 1281-nucleotide long non-coding RNA. RefSeq lists it as uncharacterized. Lineage: Eukaryota; Metazoa; Chordata; Mammalia; Carnivora; Ursidae. The transcript has 3 exons. The record is from RefSeq and is a predicted model, not a curated record.
GAAAGAAAGAAAGAAAGAAAGAAAGAAAGAAAGAAAGAAAGAAAGAAAGAAGAAAGAAAGAAAGAAAGAAAGAAAGAAAGAAAGAAAGAAAGAAAGAAAGAGAGGAAAGACUCAGAUACAGCUCUCUGGUCCAGACCAGGAAUCUGGCGGGUCCGGGAAUCAGUGGAUUCUGGCUUGAUCCCCAUGAGCCCACUUGGCAGUGGUGUCGUCUGGAGAAGAUUUUCAGGGACCCCACUGCUGCCACUGCUGUCAAGCCGCCUUGGAAACCCUGGAGAGGUUGAGCCCAGCGCCUGUGUGGUGUUCACCAUAGGGGCUCGAGGGACAGAGCAAAGCCACAAUCCAGACCCAGGAAGCUUGCAGAGAAAUACCAUCCGUGCCUACCUCUGAAGACCAGAGUCCUUGGCUCUGCUUCCAGACUCCUUGCUAUGGUCACUGGGGAGGGUUGAAGACCCGCCGCUGCUCAGCUUUCAGCACCUCCUGGGCAGACGACGCUCUGGUGUGGAGGUGCUCCCGAAACCCUGUCUCUGCGCUUCCUGCAGCUGGCUCCUCGCGUCUCAUCCACCCGGAGCCCCUGAAUCUACUACCUUCUUCCCUUUCGGCACCAGGAGAAGGGACAGAGCCUUAGCGCUGGGGGUCUCCAGAGCCUCUAUCUCCCUGCUCUCCAUUCGGCAGCAAAAGGGAGGACAAUUUCUGUCUUCUCCACUCCAAGCUCGUGUCUUGACCCUCCUUCAUUCAGCACUAGAGGGGACAGCAAACCAUUCUCUGCUCUGGGGGUGUCCCCAGUCCCAGUUUCCAACGCCCACCCCAAGUUCUUCUUCCCUUGCUACCCUUCAGCACCAUCCGGGCACGGACAGCUCCUCGGUGUCAGCCCCACCUUGAGCCCCUGUUUCUACCUUCUCCCGCCUCAGCACCUCCGGCGGGGACAGCUCCUCGCUGUCGCCUCCACCCCCAGCCCUGGCCGGACCCCGGCGCAGACACUCCUGGUUCCCAGGGACGGCCCCCGCGCCCUGCUCUCUUUGCUCCGUGCUCUCCCUGCUCCCUUCUUCUGGCGCAUGGAGACCCCAGGGGUCCAAGAAGGGGCGGAGGCAUCCAGCGAGCUGAGUCGCGCUCGCAGCCGCCAAGGCACAGCCAGACCCCCGAAGCACUUGUGGCGUCAGCCCCGGCGCCCCAUCCGCAUCCAGCAGCGCUUCUACUCGGACCCGGAUAAGUCCGCGGGCUGCAGUGAGCGGGACCGGAGCCCGCGGCCGGGGCUCGAGAAGUCUCGGCGCUCCUGGCCCACCU